RNAcentral lists this unclassified non-coding RNA (302 nucleotides) under Hevea brasiliensis (rubber tree). Lineage: Eukaryota; Viridiplantae; Streptophyta; Magnoliopsida; Malpighiales; Euphorbiaceae. The record is from RNAcentral.
GUUUAAACCAGCAAAAGUACCAAAAAUUAGGUGGUUUUAGUUGCAUGAUUUCCCCCAUUUGAUGCGUUCGUACACAUGGAAUAAAAGUUUGCAGCUUUGCAAAGUACAGAAACAAGAAAUUAAUGGGUUUUCAUUGUUGAGUUCUGAAAAUCACGCCUCUCUGUCUUUCUCUCUUAUGUGGUAAUUGAUGUUUUCCAUCUAUCUAGCAUGUGUAACUGAUCAUUGACACAUACAAAUGACAUAUUCAAACCAUUUGUCGUUAUCUAUUAAAAAUUUUUAGGGGAAGUCAUGGCAGUAGCUGU